AACGCGAAGAACCUUACCAGCCCUUGACAUGGGGAGUAUGGGCCUGAGAGAUCGGGUCCUUCAGUUCGGCUGGCUCCCGCACAGGUGCUGCAUGGCUGUCGUCAGCUCGUGUCGUGAGAUGUUGGGUUAAGUCCCGCAACGAGCGCAACCCUCGUCUUCAGUUGCCAUCACGUUUGGGUGGGCACUCUGAAGAAACUGCCGGUGACAAGCCGGAGGAAGGUGGGGAUGACGUCAAGUCCUCAUGGCCCUUACGGGCUGGGCUACACACGUGCUACAAUGGCGGUGACAGAGGGGAGCGACGGGGUGACCCUGAGCCAAUCCCGAAAAGCCGUCUCAGUUCGGAUUGCACUCUGCAACUCGAGUGCAUGAAGUCGGAAUCGCUAGUAAUCGCGGAUCAGCACGCCGCGGUGAAUACGUUCCCGGGCCUUGUA
RNAcentral lists this ribosomal RNA (431 nucleotides) under uncultured Alphaproteobacteria bacterium. RNAcentral describes it as "bacterial SSU rRNA". It matches the Rfam family "Bacterial small subunit ribosomal RNA", at positions 958 to 1385 of the family's 1533-position model. The record is from RNAcentral. Lineage: Bacteria; Pseudomonadati; Pseudomonadota; Alphaproteobacteria.